UUGAACGCUGGUGGCAUGCCUUACACAUGCAAGUCGAACGGUAGAGGGGCAACCCUUGAGAGUGGCGAACGGGUGAGUAAUAUAUCGGAACGUGCCCAGUCGUGGGGGAUAACGCAGCGAAAGCUGCGCUAAUACCGCAUACGAUCUAUGGAUGAAAGCGGGGGAUCGCAAGACCUCGCGCGAUUGGAGCGGCCGAUAUCAGAUUAGGUAGUUGGUGGGGUAAAAGCCCACCAAGCCGACGAUCUGUAGCCG
Molecule: ribosomal RNA, 252 nt
Filed under: uncultured bacterium
Lineage: Bacteria
Description: partial 16S ribosomal RNA
Rfam family: Bacterial small subunit ribosomal RNA
Source: RNAcentral